CGGCGCUGGAGGCUUUUGCCCCAGCCAGUUGUUUCACUGAUUGUCUGUGGCAGAAAGCAGAAAGCCCCGAAAAGCUAAUUUUAAUUAACUUAACGAGGCCACCUGUGAAAACUAGACACUUACACAGUAGCUUCAUACCCGCAGAAAUGCAAGGGAGCAUGAACAUG
RNAcentral lists this antisense RNA (167 nucleotides) under Buttiauxella sp. BIGb0552. RNAcentral's name for it is "sok antitoxin". It matches the Rfam family "sok antitoxin (CssrC)". Rfam says of the family: Also identified in Shigella as CssrC. The record is from RNAcentral. Lineage: Bacteria; Pseudomonadati; Pseudomonadota; Gammaproteobacteria; Enterobacterales; Enterobacteriaceae.